This 471-nucleotide ribosomal RNA is filed under the name uncultured soil bacterium. Its description in RNAcentral is "bacterial SSU rRNA". It matches the Rfam family "Bacterial small subunit ribosomal RNA", at positions 26 to 504 of the family's 1533-position model. The record is from RNAcentral.
AGGACGAACGCUGGCGGCGUGCUUAACACAUGCAAGUCGAACGGAAAGGCCCUGCUUUUGUGGGGUGCUCGGGUGGCGAACGGGUGAGUAACACGUGAGUAACCUGCCCUUGACUUUGGGAUAACUUCAGGAAACUGGGGCUAAUACCGGAUAGGAGCUCCUGCUGCAUGGUGGGGGUUGGAAAGUUUCGGCGGUUGGGGAUGGACUCGCGGCUUAUCAGCUUGGUUGGUGGGGUAGUGGCUUACCAAGGUCUUUGACGGGUAGCCGGCCUGAGAGGGUGACCGGCCACAUUGGGACUGAGAUACGGCCCAGACUCCUACGGGAGGCAGCAGUGGGGAAUAUUGCACAAUGGGCGGAAGCCUGAUGCAGCAACGCCGCGUGCGGGAUCGACGGCCGUCGGUUGUAACCGUCUUCGCCUGUCGACGAAGCGUGAGUCGAACGGUAAGUAGGGUAAAGAAGGUACCGAACCGG